This 292-nucleotide ribosomal RNA is filed under the name uncultured Pseudomonas sp. RNAcentral describes it as "partial 16S ribosomal RNA". It matches the Rfam family "Bacterial small subunit ribosomal RNA", at positions 1091 to 1382 of the family's 1533-position model. The record is from RNAcentral. Lineage: Bacteria; Pseudomonadati; Pseudomonadota; Gammaproteobacteria; Pseudomonadales; Pseudomonadaceae.
AACGAGCGCAACCCCUAUCAUCUGUUGCCAGCAUUUAAGGUGGGGACGUCAGAUGAGACUGCCGGUGACAAACCGGAGGAAGGUGGGGACGACGUCAAGUCAUCAUGGCCCUUACGGCCUGGGCUACACACGUGCUACAAUGGUCGGUACAAAGGGUUGCCAAGCCGCGAGGUGGAGCUAAUCCCAUAAAACCGAUCGUAGUCCGGAUCGCAGUCUGCAACUCGACUGCGUGAAGUCGGAAUCGCUAGUAAUCGUGAAUCAGAAUGUCACGGUGAAUACGUUCCCGGGCCUU